Long non-coding RNA from Lathyrus oleraceus (garden pea), 1554 nucleotides. RefSeq lists it as uncharacterized. NCBI's taxonomy places the organism in Eukaryota, Viridiplantae, Streptophyta, Magnoliopsida, Fabales, Fabaceae. The record is from RefSeq and is a predicted model, not a curated record. The transcript has 2 exons.
UCUCUAAAACCUAAUUAGCUCCUGAACCAAUUUUUAUACCUAAUUAAAGUCCUAAGAACUAAUUAAGUAGCAUAUUAAUCUAAGAUUUAAUGCUUCUAAAUAAUCCUAAUUCUUCUAGUCAGCAUCUAACCAUCAAAGAUUAACAUGAGCUUAAAUAAACUACUGCUAUUAGGCCCUGAUAAAUGGGUAAUGGGGGGUGAAGGCCCGCUGAGGCGAUGUAUGAAGAGCAUCAACCAGAGCCCAAACUUCUGGAACCUCAAAAUACACAUGUGAGGAAGCGUACAGGUGAAGUCCAGGAAACAUGCACCCAACGCGUUUUUCGUAAAAGCUACACGGGCGAAUGAAGCGCUUGCAGUUGAAAAAGUGCUAAAAAAAAGCUCAACGCGAACAUCGCGUUCGUCAUCACCAUCACAUUCACAAACCAACAUCGCUGUUCGUGGACGCUUCACCAUCUCGGAUCGUUCAACAGUCUAACGCGAUUCGCGUCCAUCCACCAUCAACAAUUAAUGACUCAAACUCACGAAAUCACCAACAUCAGCUAUCCUAAUCUACGGAGCCGAAUCGCAACGACAUCACUAAAUUGCUUGAGCAUGACGAAAAAAGAAGAAGAACAUCUAACCGGCGAUGACGACGGGAUGACGGAUCGGUGAUGGCUACGAAUGGAUCUGCAGAGUUCGAAAGAAGAGCGUGGAGGACUACCGGCGGCGACGAAAGAAGCUUCGGCGGCGCGUUACUUGUUGAUGGUGUGCGAUUUCGCCAGAAAUGUUUGGUGCAUCACAGGAUUGUGAAGCUCUCUGUUGUGAGGUGGAGGUUAAGGUUUUGUGUGAAGAAGGGAAUGACGUUGAUGGAGCGGUUGAAGUGGAGUCGAUGAAGGUUUUGGUUAUGGAAGUUUAGCAGGUAACAAAGCUGGCUAGAGAAUGGUGAAUUUUGUUACGCGCUUGUUUAGUGAGGGAAAAAGGUUGUGGAAUCUGGAAGAGAGGAAGAGGAUUGAAGUGGUGAAGGUUGGUUCUUGAUGGUGAUUGUGAAGUUUGUUAGAGUUUGGAGGGAGGGAAGAAGAAGAAGAAUCUGGACGGAACGAGAGAGGUGAAGAUUGAUUUAUAGAGUGAUGGAGGUUAAAAGUUUGUUAGGAAGAAAAUUUUGUUAUUAGAUUUGUUAUUUUUUCUGUGAAAUUAUGCAGGAAUUCUGUUAUGCAGUGAAUUGGAUUUUAUGCAGGUUAAUUUGUGCAGCGAAUUUAUCAUUGAAAUGGCUUGCAUCCGGCUUAACUGGCUUGUGUUGUAGCUUGUUGCUGUAAUGGUUUUGGAUCACGUUACAACUUUGAUGUCGUGCGUUUCAGCUGGUUGAAGCUCGUACUGCGUUCUGCACUCUCCCAUGUUGCAGCAUCGUUUGGCCACAUAUUCACUGUAUUUUAUCUCAUGUGGAUAUUGUAAAUGGCUAAUAGUAUAUGGAUAUAUACAUGGGCUGAUAUUGUUAUUAUGAUAUAUGCCAUGAGCUUUAACAUGUAAAAAUGUGCUCAUGAUAUAUAAAUAUUAAUGGAAUGAAGUGUAUGAGAAUGUA